This is a long non-coding RNA of Chionomys nivalis (European snow vole), 954 nucleotides long. RefSeq lists it as uncharacterized. The record is from RefSeq and is a predicted model, not a curated record. NCBI's taxonomy places the organism in Eukaryota, Metazoa, Chordata, Mammalia, Rodentia, Cricetidae. The transcript has 3 exons.
GAUGCAGCCGGUUAGGCAAGAACUUUUGUCAAGAUCACCACGGGGAAAGUGGGAAACCGGAAGGGAAAGCGAAUUCUCCCUUGUGUUGAGAAAGCAGGAGAUGCUCUGUAAUAUUUAUUUGCGCAUAUUUUUUUUCGUCCCCGUGGUGUGUUGUUUACAAGACCGGACUCACUUCUCAGUUACCAUGAGCGGAACCGAUGAAGGGAGGAUCCAGAAGAAUGGAACUCCAGGAGGCGCUUCUGCACCCUAGGAACUGUAAACUUCACACCCAGUGGGGUCCCAAGAACUAAUUUGUUCCUCCCAGAACUGGAACUUAUCUCUGCCGAACCAGUAAGAUUGCUCUGCAAGUAAAGAUGUGUGAAGAACAGAACCCACAUGGUGGAAGGAGAGAACUGGGUCCUGCAAGUUGUUCUCUGAGGUCCCCAUAAUCACACACACAGACCACGAACAAAUCAUUGGAAAAAAAUAUAAUUUUUCUCCUCCUGUAGUUUUGCGCGAUGAUUUAUCUUCUGCACUCCCCCGCCCCUUAUUUAAGUGUUUCCCUUUCUUAGAUUUUCUUUGCUUUUACUUUCAUCCGUGUUUCCUCAGUACUAAGUUUCUGUUUCUUUUCUCCUUUGGGAAAGACUGCUGACCUGUGUUUUCUUUUCGUCAUGUACAGAACUGCCUAUUUUUUUGAAAAAACCCCAAAGAUCCGUUUCAGGCCCUGUUCGUUUCAAGUUACUCUUGAGCAUCUUGUCUAAAUGGUAACAUGGGAAGAUGCUAGACUAGAGAUUCCUAUUCUUUCCAAGUUUUCAUUAGAAUUUUUAAAAUUGCCUUUCUUGAACCACCGGCCCCCAAAUCAUCACACAGAGAUGUUUUGUUACUAGUUAUGAAUGCUUGGCUGUAUCUUAUGCUUGUCUCACUAGCCCUUAUCACUUAAUUUAACCUGUUUCUCUUCAUCUGCAUUUUGCCUAG